Camarhynchus parvulus is the source of this 1855-nucleotide long non-coding RNA. Lineage: Eukaryota; Metazoa; Chordata; Aves; Passeriformes; Thraupidae. The record is from Ensembl.
GGGGGGCGGCCGCGAAAUGGCCGAGGACGCCGCGCAGGGAACAGAGUGGGGAUGCGGGACACGAGAGGAAGCGGGGGGGCCGGGGCGGCCCCGCGGCGAAAGCCGCUCGUACAGCCCUGCCCCCCCCCCCGCUCCUUCCUCCUUCCUCACCCCCCCCACCCUUUCCCUCCCUCCCGCUUCCCCCCGGCCCGGGCGGGGUGUGGGUGUCCGCGGGGACGGUGGACAUUUUGCGAGUCGCGGCUGCCCCCGGUGCGGUGGCGGCCUUGGGGUGUGUGAGACUGCGCGUGUGCUCGUGUGUGCGGGGGGGCGGUGUGCGGUGCCGGUGUGUGUAUGUGUGUGUGCAGUGUGUGUAUGUGUGUGCGAUGUGUGUGUGUGUGAGCGUGGGGGCUCCGGUGUAUGUAUGUGUGUAUGUCUGCGUGCGUGUGUGCGGUGCCGGUGCAUGUGUGCGGGGGGUGCGGUGCCGGCUGUGUGCGUGGGUUGCCGUGCCGUGUGUGUGCGAGUGCGGGCGGGGGUGCGGUGCCGGUGCGGUGCCGUGUGUGUGUGUCUGUGUCUGUGUGUGUCUGUGCGUGCGCGGCCGGCGCGGCGCGGUGCGGGGGGGCCGUGCGGGGCUCGUACGCCGGGCGGACCCGGCGGGGCGCAGCGCGGGGCCGGUCGCCGGCAGGGCCGGUCGCCGCCACCGCACGGCGUAUGUAGUACGGGGCUGGGCGGCUGCCGGAGGGUGAAUGAAGCGAGGAGGAGGCGGCGGCGGCGGGGGAGGCGGCGCUGCCGCUGGGAUGUGCCCGGCAGCAGCCCCGCUUCGCUUCACUCAGGGCCCAGGCCGGCUGCAGACGCCACCCGUCACAUUGCAGGCCAAGCCAGAUGGGCAAGCAAUACAAGCUGUGAAUUUAUUCUUGACCCCGUAGGACAGUGACCACCAUCAUUUUUUUCUUCACCCUACAGUUAUGCACUGCCAAUAAGGUGAGAAUGCAAUGCUUUUUAUUUCCUUCAGCAAGUGUACACUGUCUGCUCUGGGCUUUAGGCAAAGUGCACUCCUUCCUGGUGUCUGUGUGAUUACCUACCUAUGAUAGGUUUGUACUUCCCUUGCCUGGCAGUAGAGGUCCUUGAGAAACUCUGCUCAGAAAAAUGUCUUUAACUCUGGUGACUCAGUUCUGUGACUUACAGAACAGGUGGGUUCCAGAUGGGUGGUUUUAUGCUCACCUGAGGUCAGAGUGCAUUCAGUUACUGGAAGAUGUUAGUAUGAAUGGAAAAGUUGGCAGACUUUGAGUCUUGUUAUAAAAUGCUAUGUGUAAAAUUGAAUAAAUCCUUCCUUCACUUUUAUGAUCAUUUUCAGGAUUCCUGUUGCUUGUCGCCUACUUGGCUUUUCCACUGUCUUGAGUUUCUUCUGUGCAUUAAACUUUGUCCAGCAUUAGAAUAGUUCCCAGGAUAAUUAGUCACUACUGAUGUAUCUGUGUGUCUUUUGCUCUAUUUUGAGGAAUGCUUUCAGUUCUUCUGAUUUUCCUCCCUGGAAUGCUGUUGCCAGACAAGAUGUAAAAGUGCACAUGUAUCAGUCUGCUGCUGUCCCUUUCCUCUCUCUCUCCUUCCCAUAUGGUUGUGGAAAAUAACUUGAAAAGACCAAGUCCCAAGACUCAACAAUCAUACUGCCAAUAAAAAGAACAUAAAUUUUUAUUUUAUUUCUUUAAUCUGAUUGUCAUUAAGCCAGCCUGGUUUUUUGGACCUAUUCUGUGAUUUUUAAGUGCUUGGGAUUGGCAAUGCUGCUAAUGCUUUAAGAAAAAAAAGAUAAAGGAUCAUAAUAAAAUUGCCUGUGUCUUUAAAUAAAAGAAAAUGAAAUAUAGUGAUUGCUUGCAGAAAACCAAAG